RNAcentral lists this ribosomal RNA (301 nucleotides) under uncultured bacterium. RNAcentral's name for it is "partial 16S ribosomal RNA". It matches the Rfam family "Bacterial small subunit ribosomal RNA", at positions 509 to 807 of the family's 1533-position model. The record is from RNAcentral.
CAGUCGCCGCGGUAAUACGUAGGCAGCGAGCGUUGUACGGAAUUACUGGGCGCAAAGAGUGUGUAGGCGGUGCUCUAAGUUCGGUGUGAAAUCUCCCGGCUUAACUGGGAGGGUGCGCCGGAAACUGGAAUGCUCGAACGUGGGAGAGGAAAGCGGAAUUCCUGGUGUAGCGGUGAAAUGCGUAGAUAUCAGGAGGAACACCUGCGGUGUAGACGGCUUUCUGGACCAUUGUUGACGCUGAGACACGAAAGCGUGGGUAGCAAACAGGAUUAGAGACCCCUGUAGUCCCUGUCUCUUAUAC